GCCAAGCGGUAAGGCACCGGAUUCUGAUUCCGGCAUUCCGAGGUUCGAAUCCUCGUACCCCAGCCA
RNAcentral lists this transfer RNA (66 nucleotides) under Enterobacter cloacae. RNAcentral describes it as "tRNA-Gln". It matches the Rfam family "tRNA", at positions 10 to 71 of the family's 71-position model. From Rfam's summary of the family: Transfer RNA (tRNA) molecules are approximately 80 nucleotides in length. Their secondary structure includes four short double-helical elements and three loops (D, anti-codon, and T loops). Further hydrogen bonds mediate the characteristic L-shaped molecular structure. tRNAs have two regions of fundamental functional importance: the anti-codon, which is responsible for specific mRNA codon recognition, and the 3' end, to which the tRNAs corresponding amino acid is attached (by aminoacyl-tRNA synthetases). tRNAs cope with the degeneracy of the genetic code in two manners: having more than one tRNA (with a specific anti-codon) for a particular amino acid; and 'wobble' base-pairing, i.e. permitting non-standard base-pairing at the 3rd anti-codon position. RNAcentral also lists the same sequence under 19 other names. Lineage: Bacteria; Pseudomonadati; Pseudomonadota; Gammaproteobacteria; Enterobacterales; Enterobacteriaceae. The record is from RNAcentral.